Molecule: ribosomal RNA, 253 nt
Filed under: uncultured bacterium
Lineage: Bacteria
Description: partial 16S ribosomal RNA
Rfam family: Bacterial small subunit ribosomal RNA
Source: RNAcentral
GACAGAGGCCUCAAGCGUUAGGCGGAAUCACUGGGCUUAAAGCGUGUGUAGGCGGACUUCUAAGGGCCUUGUGAAAUCCCACGGCUCAACCGUGGAACUGCUGGGCAUACUGGGAGUCUUGGGCCAUUCAGGGGCAACUGGAACAAGCGGUGGAGCGGUGAAAUGCGUAGAUAUUAGGAGGAACACCGGUGGCGAAGGCGGCUACCUGGACCGAUAUUGACGCUGAGACGCGAAAGCGUGGGGAGCAAACAGG